Long non-coding RNA from Cavia porcellus (domestic guinea pig), 2074 nucleotides. RefSeq lists it as uncharacterized. Lineage: Eukaryota; Metazoa; Chordata; Mammalia; Rodentia; Caviidae. The record is from RefSeq and is a predicted model, not a curated record. The transcript is spliced from 2 exons.
GGGAACCCUAGCACUCUGAACCUCAGCAGCCUGCAGAGGCCUGAAGAGGUUAGAAUCUGAUGAGAUUACAAACCUAAAUAAUAUUGAACUGUAGUGUGCUCUUGAAAAUGAAUCUGAUGAGAAAAAUCCAGACUUCCAGGAAGAUGGCAAAAUGGUAAGCUGCAGAGAAAGACCCUCUUUGAGACUUGCAGUCAGACACUGGAAUAUUGAGGAAGAGAAGAAGGAUCUCAGAAGGAUUCUUGGUCCCAAGAAGGAUCUUCAGAGAAAACAUGCCCAGUGCGGAGCAAAGAGAGAAACUUUACCAUAGAGGAAGGAGGUAUUGAGUGGCACCUUCUCCCUGAGUUGGGACUCACUGUGUGAAAGGAACGGUUCAAACCUGAUUACACACAACGCUGCUGGCGACCCCAGAGGCCUCCACAGAAAGAUGCAGCAGUGGAAGGGAGCAGCGCACUGGCUGGUGUUGAAUGCUGCAGGAUCAGACCUACCGCACCAGAGGGCAAUUGGCUGGGAGCUGUUGUGUCUAGCAUAGGUCUCAAAAUUCUCGGGGUGAAAGAUGAUAGAAGAUGGAGAAAUAGAUAAGAGUCAGAAUAUAAAAAGGUGAGGGCAGGUGGAGCACUUUUUCCAAAUGAGAGGAAAGGAACUGUCAAUGACUGCAGCACGUUAGUCAAUGACUCAGCAGGUUGACGUAGUCAUGUGACACCCCUCUGCCUAGCAACCUGUUUGUUUGGGUGUUCUCAGAGCUAGAACAGCUGAAACAGCUUGGAUCGCCUAGGUGAUCCUUGUUCUGAGGAUGGCCUUGUUCCAGCACUGCAUGUGUGAUUGAUCUUCAGCUUCAGUUACUCCCCACAGAGAGCCAUCUUGCAGAGGGACCAACUGAGCUCAGAAUUCAGAACUGCUGAGGCCAUCUAGCAGCUCCUAAGUUCAAAUCCACAGAAAAUGUGCUGACUGCUGCAGGCUGCAGGUCUGGUCCCAGGCUCACGGGCAGAGUCCAGCAGAAGGUGCAGCUCCCUGAGAAUAUUCAUUACCCACCAUAAAGCUACUGCUGACUUGCUGGGAUAAAUCAACAUGGAUUGGGAGUUUCUCCACACAGUGUCUACUAGUGACAGCAGAGACAAACUUUGAAGUGGGCAUUAUUUUCUUUCUUUUUUCCUUCAUUGUUUGAUCUUUUUUUAUGAGUAUGAAAGUGAUUUCUAGGUUUUUUUUUUUUUUUUUGUGGUUGUUGUUCCAUUCUGUUCUUCCUUCCUUUUAUGUCUUUCUUUCUUUUUUUUUUUUUUUUUUGUACUGGGGAUUAAAUCCACAACCUCAGGCUUGCUAAGCAGGCAUUUGUGCUACAAAGCUAAAUCCACGGCUCUUUCUUUUAUUUCUUCCUUCUGUCCCCUCCUGUCUUCUGCACAAGUUUCCCAAAGUUUGCACGAUUCUCCUUUGUUCUCCAGCCUUGCUUCUAAUUUCUUCCCCUUCUAUUUCUCUUCUUUCCUCCUAACCCCUUUUAAAUUUUUCUCCCCUGAGGGUAAAACUGGCACACUGAGGGCUAUUUGCUGCAUACAAUUUUCUGGUUUGUUUUAAAUUUUGUUAUACAAUCACAAAUCUAGUUCACAUGGUUAAAGGUGGCACAUUAAUGGGUAUUUUAAUUUUUCAUUUUUAGGCUGUGUUUGAUUCUCUUGUUAUUGUUGAUUAUACCAUGUUAGCCAAAUUGAUACCACUGUUCUAACCAGCUGUUAUUCCUGGUAUCCCAAGACUGAGAUUGCCUAAGGGUCAUAGAAAAUACUGUGGGCCAGUGCCAAGGAACCAGGGGCUGGUCCAAGUGGGCAGCAACUUCUCAACCCCAACAAAUUGAAGAGGUGGGAUCUUGCAACAGAUUCAAAAACUAGUUACAUCCGGAAUACCUCUGAGUAGUUAUUUCCUAAGGGUUCUAAAUACUAGCAAUAAAGCAGCUCACCACAGUCACUUUAUAAGUGUCAACCCAGGAAUUAAACAAAACAAAACAAAAAAAAAAAAAAAGAAAAGAAAGAAAAUGGGAAUACAUUUAAACAAAAUGCAACCCCAGACAAAAGCAAAACCAGGGAGCAAUGAGGCA